RNAcentral lists this transfer RNA (67 nucleotides) under Noctilio leporinus (greater bulldog bat). Its description in RNAcentral is "tRNA-Tyr". It matches the Rfam family "tRNA". Rfam says of the family: Transfer RNA (tRNA) molecules are approximately 80 nucleotides in length. Their secondary structure includes four short double-helical elements and three loops (D, anti-codon, and T loops). The record is from RNAcentral. Lineage: Eukaryota; Metazoa; Chordata; Mammalia; Chiroptera; Noctilionidae.
GGUAAAAUGGCUGAGUUAAGCAUUAGACUGUAAAUCUAAAGACGAGGACAAGUCCUCUUUUGCCAAG